Molecule: ribosomal RNA, 460 nt
Filed under: uncultured bacterium
Lineage: Bacteria
Description: partial 16S ribosomal RNA
Rfam family: Bacterial small subunit ribosomal RNA
Source: RNAcentral
CCUACGGGAGGCAGCAGUGAGGAAUAUUGGUCAAUGGACGAGAGUCUGAACCAGCCAAGUAGCGUGAAGGAUGACUGCCCUAUGGGUUGUAAACAUCUUUUAUAUGGGAAUAAAAUGUUCCACGUGUGGGCUUUUGUAUGUACCAUAUGAAUAAGGAUCGGCUAACUCCGGGCCAGCAGCCGCGGUAAUACGGAGGAUCCGAGCGUUAUCCGGAUUUAUUGGGUUUAAAGGGAGCGUAGGUGGUUUGUUAAGUCAGUUGUGAAAGUUUGCGGCUCAACCGAAAAAUUGCAGUUGAAACUGGCAGUCUUGAGUACAGUAGAGGUGGGCGGAAUUCGUGGUGUAGCGGUGAAAUGCUUAGAUAUCACGAAGAACUCCGAUGGCGAAGGCAGCUCACUGGACUGCAACUGACACUGAGGCUCGAAAGUGUGGGUAUCAAACAGGAUUAGAUACCCCAGUAGUC